This is a non-coding RNA of Tulasnella sp. UAMH 9824, 90 nucleotides long. The record is from the annotation of a GenBank genome assembly. NCBI's taxonomy places the organism in Eukaryota, Fungi, Basidiomycota, Agaricomycetes, Cantharellales, Tulasnellaceae.
GACACUUUGGCCGAGUGGUUAAGGCGACAGACUCGAAUUAGUUCAAUCUGUUGGGGUCUCCCCGCAUAGGUUCAAAUCCUGUAGGUGUCG